This 252-nucleotide ribosomal RNA is filed under the name uncultured bacterium. RNAcentral's name for it is "partial 16S ribosomal RNA". It matches the Rfam family "Bacterial small subunit ribosomal RNA", at positions 524 to 776 of the family's 1533-position model. The record is from RNAcentral.
UACGGGGGGGCAAGCGUUGUUCGGAAUUACUGGGCGUAAAGGGCUCGUAGGCGGCCAACUAAGUCAGACGUGAAAUCCCCAGGCUCAACCUGGGAACUGCGUCUGAUACUGGUUGGCUUGAAUCCGGGAGAGGGAUGCAGAAUUCCAGGUGUAGCGGUGAAAUGCGUAGAUAUCUGGAGGAAUACCGGUGGCGAAGGCGGCAUCCUGGACCGGCAUUGACGCUGAGGAGCGAAAGCUAGGGGAGCAAACGGG